RNAcentral lists this ribosomal RNA (253 nucleotides) under uncultured bacterium. RNAcentral's name for it is "partial 16S ribosomal RNA". It matches the Rfam family "Bacterial small subunit ribosomal RNA", at positions 524 to 776 of the family's 1533-position model. The record is from RNAcentral.
UACGGAGGGUGCAAGCGUUGUUCGGAAUUACUGGGCGUAAAGAGCACGUAGGCGGAUCUGUAAGUCGAUUGUGAAAGCCCUAGGCUUAACCUGGGAAUUGCAGUUGAAACUGCGGACCUUGAAUGCUUGAGAGGGUGGGAGAAUUCCUGGUGUAGAAGUGAAAUUCGUAGAUAUCAGGAGGAAUACCGGAGGCGAAGGCGCCUGCCUGGCAAUGCAUUGACGCUGAGGUGCGAAAGCGUGGGUAGCAAACAGG